This 74-nucleotide transfer RNA is filed under the name Candidatus Gugararchaeum adminiculabundum. Its description in RNAcentral is "tRNA-Asn(gtt)". It matches the Rfam family "tRNA". From Rfam's summary of the family: Transfer RNA (tRNA) molecules are approximately 80 nucleotides in length. Their secondary structure includes four short double-helical elements and three loops (D, anti-codon, and T loops). The record is from RNAcentral. Lineage: Archaea; Nanobdellati; Microcaldota; Candidatus Micrarchaeia; Candidatus Gugararchaeales; Candidatus Gugararchaeaceae.
GCCUGGGUAGCUCAGUUGGUAGAGCGCUUGGCUGUUAACCAAGAUGUCGAAGGUUCAAGUCCUUCCCCAGGCGC